Molecule: ribosomal RNA, 403 nt
Filed under: bacterium
Lineage: Bacteria
Description: partial 16S ribosomal RNA
Rfam family: Bacterial small subunit ribosomal RNA
Source: RNAcentral
UGGGGAAUCUUGCACAAUGGGGGAAACCCUGAUGCAGCGACGCCGCGUGAGCGAUGAAGGUUUUCGAAUCGUAAAGCUCUGUCCUAUGGGAAGAUAAUGACGGUACCAUAGGAGGAAGCCCCGGCUAACUACGUGCCAGCAGCCGCGGUAAUACGUAGGGGGCGAGCGUUGUCCGGAAUUACUGGGCGUAAAGGGUUCGCAGGCGGCAUGACAAGUCCGAUGUAAAAGGCGAAAGCUCAACUUUCGUAAGCAACGGAAACUGUCAAGCUUGAGUGAAGGAGAGGCAAGUGGAAUGCCUAGUGUAGCGGUGGAAUGCGAAGAUAUUAGGAGGAGUACCGGUGGCGAAGGCGACUUGCUGGACUUCAACUGACGCUGAGGAACGAAAGCGUGGGUAGCAAAGAGG